UCAACCCGAAAGGGACUGUUGGAAAGGGGGGCCGCGGGGGGUUGUGGCUGGGGAGGGGGGAUGGGAGAGGUUAAUCCUUCCUGACCAACUGCGGCCGGAGAGACAGACAAGGGGCGUUCUUCUUCAGGAGACAAAGCAGGGUGUUCUUGAGGGGGCUUGGGGCACUUCUGGCUUCCACUUUCAAGAGAGAUGAUGGAAGAUACCAAUUCUACUUUGGGCACCUGAAGGAAAAGACUAUGAAAACUCUGACAUGAGAGCAGCUGGCAAUCUCCAUCAUUUCUGUAUCUCCAACUAGAGACUUUAAGGAACUUCCCCUUGGGAAGUUUCUACAAUAAGGGGUCCUGGCACCAGUGAAAUCAUCAGAGGACCAAGUCGUUCAUCUGAGACUUUCCCCCAGAUGGAAGCAUAUCUUCAAGGAAGAUCUUGAUGGCAGGGAAGUUUUUGCUGGGUGAUGAAGGGAGCAGUUUCUGAUACUUGCUGGAUCUGCAAAAAAGUCCCAGUUUUUUCCCUGGAAAUGACAGUCUAGGACAACUCAAUUAUUUUUAAAUGCCUGGGCAUUGUGCUAAGGUGCUAGAAAAUGAUCUAGUGGGGAGGGCACUUGAGUAUUCAACAAGGCCAUCUCCCCAUCUGCCUGUUGCCACUGACUAACCUACUUGUCCUCACCUAGAUCAGCACCUUCUACAGUAGAUCUGAGACCUGGACCUCCAUACCACAGCCUUCCCAAAUACAUUCCCAGACCCUGAGGAAAUUAAUCCACUCAUGUUUGGAACUCCUGUUUUAGGUCCCAAACCAGAGGAUCAGUAAUGGACCAUGUGCAAGCUAGCUUAUUUCUAUCACUCUAUUUACAGCUCACCCUAGACACUAGACCAUGUCUCAGUUUCACAUCCCAUCUAGCCAUUGACCAUCUCACCAUCUGCCGAUUUUGAUUUCCAUCUCAUCAGAACAAAACUCCCAACCCUAGACAACUCUCUUCUAUUAAAAUAUAAAGUCCUUGAA
Molecule: long non-coding RNA, 996 nt
Organism: Monodelphis domestica (gray short-tailed opossum)
Lineage: Eukaryota; Metazoa; Chordata; Mammalia; Didelphimorphia; Didelphidae
Source: RefSeq, a predicted model, not a curated record